Long non-coding RNA from Lolium rigidum, 464 nucleotides. RefSeq lists it as uncharacterized. NCBI's taxonomy places the organism in Eukaryota, Viridiplantae, Streptophyta, Magnoliopsida, Poales, Poaceae. The transcript has 4 exons. The record is from RefSeq and is a predicted model, not a curated record.
UCCAAUCACCACCAAAUUCGCCGAUUCCACCUCCGGCCGGCCGACGAAUUCUUUCGAUUCCGACCGUCUCAGUCAGUCUCUGGCCUCCCCGACAGCUCCGUGACCUUCCUGGUGCUCGUCACCGGCGGCACUCCGUCCAGUUGCCGGCGCUUCCUCCGCCCGUUCCUGGUUCCCCACGUCCAGGCGCACCACCGGCGACACCUUCCUCGACCUUGUUCGUUCGUGGACGUCGAAUCCACCCCCGACCUGAGCUUCCCCGUCAUGGCGUAGGGAGAAAUACAAUCCAGCAGCCCAAGUUCGAAUCCCAUCUGCUCCUUUUUGGUUUUUCAGCUGUAUGUGCGUCAGCCCACCGGACUGAGAUCCAUUUCAAAGAAUCCGGCGCAUCAAACCUAUCACCCUACAAAGUGUAGCCCAUCUGCAUUUGCUUCUUCCCGAAUAGGAUCGCGAAGUGGUGUGGUGAGAUA